AAGGAUCAUUACAAAUCGUUAGGAGAAGGGGUUCUGGGCUCUGCCUAUCAACCUCUCUCUUCUUAGGUUCGAUGCAGCAAUGCAUCGUUACUUUGCGCUUGUUUUGUUUGUCAGAGUAAGUAUCACUAUUAAAGAGACAACUUUUAACAAUGGAUCUCUUGGCUCUU
Molecule: unclassified non-coding RNA, 167 nt
Filed under: uncultured fungus
Lineage: Eukaryota; Fungi
Description: partial contains 18S rRNA, ITS1, 5.8S rRNA, ITS2 and 28S rRNA
Source: RNAcentral